This 1903-nucleotide long non-coding RNA is filed under the name Vigna radiata. RNAcentral's name for it is "long non-coding RNA (VRAD_LNC007387)". Lineage: Eukaryota; Viridiplantae; Streptophyta; Magnoliopsida; Fabales; Fabaceae. The record is from RNAcentral.
ACAAAGAAAAAACAGAAACUUAUUUAAAGUGGAAAAAUUUAACAAUAAUAUAGCAUUCCAACUCAUGAUUUGAUACCACUAUUAAGAUAAUAUACUUCAUUUUUUACAUAAUAUUUAUUUUUCAUAUCAUUAUUCCAUGUAAAAUUCAAACUCACAUUUAAAAUUUUCAAGCUAAUAAUUUUCAUAUCCAUCGUCACUCAUCUCAAAAUUAUUCAUAAACAAAAUACACGAACAACAGACCACACAUAAACAAAUAAAUCAAAGAAUCAAACGCAUAGACUUAAGUAGAAGGUGGGAUGAGAUUGGUAGAUUCCUUGAUCUUGGAUAUGAACAACUUUUGAAAAUCAGAAUCUACAUUAAGAGCCACCUGUUGCAGUGUAGAUGAGAAAAUGCUCCAAAUCGAUGUCUUUCCAGCCAACUCUUCAAACAAAGGUCUGCAAAUAGGAUAAUCAAUGAUUUUUUGUUAGUAUCUGUGACAUGACAUACUUUAAAACAACAUAAUCAAUCAAUUUUAAUGUUAUUGCAUGCCAUUAACAACAUCUUACUUUGUUGUUGUCACAAUGGAAUAACUCUCCAAUCCUUCUUCACCAGCAAUUUCAGCAACAACAAAGAACUGUGGCACCACAACCAAAUCACCAGCCUCAACUUGAGUGUUUAACACACUCUUUCCAUUGAAGUCCACAAUUUCAAUCUUGCCACUUCCUCUAGCAAUAUAAAUCAACUCAACAGUAGGACUCACCGGGUAUGAUGGAGCCUUGAUAGCAUUAGGUUCAAGUUUUACUCUGAUCAAGCUUAACCCAACAUCCUCAAUAGAACCAAAAUCUUUCUCUGUUAAGGUUUUCACCAACCCAGCUUUUUCCACAGCAUUUUCUGGCUCUGCACCAUCUAUAUUAUACACUAACUUUUUGGUAUUGUGCAGUUGGGGCUUAGGAACAGGUUGAGUUUUGUCUAGUUUGAUGAUCAAAACCCCAGUUUGGCUUCUUGUGAGCUUUUCCACUUCAUUUUUGUCUAAGCCAUAGACCUUGCUCGUGAGAUCAGUGGAGAAGCCUCCUAUAACUCCUAUAGCCCCAGUUAGAAAGAAAUAGGUGAAUUGACCUGGAAUAAGAGCCUUUGAAGUUUCUCCAAGAAAAACGAUGACCAGAUCUGUGUCUCCAUCGUUGAACCACCACGAAACAGCUCCAACAGGUACUGCUAUAACGUCUCCUUUCUCAAGUUUCACAACCACCUCUUCUUUGCUGUUCGGGAGAACCAUUCCAGCUACUCCGUCGCUCCCUACAAAGUUUCUUAUAUAAAUAAUAACUCGCAAUCCUAAACUCUAAGGUGAGAUUUGCAGUCAUGAAAUCGCUUUGAUACAAAAAAUCUUGUUAAAAUAGACUUAACAUAUGAUUCUGAUAUACGUGAACUUUAAGUCUAACUUAAAUCGUGUUAUCUCUGAUGAACAUAAGAAUUUUUGCUAGCAUAAAUCUUAAUAAUGCAUGAUACUGAUAUUAUAUUAUUAUAUUAAGAAGUAAAGUUAUCAGUUUUAUAAAAGUAAGAUCAUGUUAUUAAACUCUUUUAACAAUAAAAAAUUUGCAAGAGUAACACGAGGAGAGAAUAGAAAAUAUAUAUAUAUGAAAGGGUGCUGACCUUGAAUGACAUAACCUAGUUUGGAUGAAUCUGCAUAAUGAGGAAGAGCAAAGCCACGAGGCUGAAGAAGAAGGCGACCUGCACCCAGAUAUUCCUUGGCGAGAAGUGGCACUUGAGAAGUUGUCCAAGUGUAGUAACCUCCGCCAUCUCCCUCAAACAAUGCUUCAGCUUUCUUUGGUGUUAAGUCUAUCGCCAUUCGUUCAAAGGAAUAGAGUUUCUGUCGAAAGAAAUGAGGAACAAGGUGAUUCAGAUGCAUAUAAGAGAUGAUAGUGGCUAU